Molecule: long non-coding RNA, 2693 nt
Organism: Falco peregrinus (peregrine falcon)
Lineage: Eukaryota; Metazoa; Chordata; Aves; Falconiformes; Falconidae
Exons: 2
Source: RefSeq, a predicted model, not a curated record
ACCCGCGGAACUGCUCGGCCGUGCCCUGCGCUGCGGGGCAGCCGGCCGCCCUGGGGCGGAGAAGCCGAGGCGGCGGGUGGGACAGCGGCCCUUCGCCGCCUCUGCCAGGGGGCCGCGGCGCGGUGUGCUCAGCCGAACCGCCAGCCCGUGCCACCCUCUCCGCUAGGCUUACAAACUUCAGGGACCACAAAUCCGUUUGUUUUUGGGUUUUUUUUUUCCCCUGUAAAUCCGAAGCUAACCGUGCUGCAAUCCUGUGCAGGAAUUCCCGCAGCACACGCUUCUCUGAGAGCACUGCCACCCAUUUCACAAAACCACCCACCCUCACGCUCGUGAGCGUUUUGCACAACCUCCCCGCCGCGGAAGGAGGGGGCACACACACCCCGGACCCCCGCCUGCCCAAAGGCUGCUUUAAACAGCAACGCCAUUUCCCGCAAGGGUCUUAAGAAUCAAGUACUUCUACCAACUUUCUCAUUUUUCAGCUAUAUUUUACCUACUCUCCAAAUGGCAGGCAAACUCAGCAGUAGUACUGGUUACCCCACAUAUUUUUCCAACAGGUUGUUUGGAUUAAAAAGAAAAAAAAAGGAGAAAAAAAAAAAAAAACGAACAAACAACUCAACCCAGGAGGUCUACCAGCCUGAUCAAAUACUGACUCUCAAAUGCUCCUGGCUCACGCACACCACCUACAAACAUCAGGGAGCAGAGAGGAUUUUGGAAGCAGUGGAGAAAAGAAGCCCUCCCCCAGCAGUGGGAAUCAGUGUAUUUUGAUAGAUAAAAGUUUCCUCUUGGCUAUCCCAUCUGAAAAACUGGUUUAUCCCCCAUUCCCACAGUACGUAAACAUGACAUUAAUGAACAUAUCUUGACAACCUCUGUGUGAGAAAGCAAAGUAUUACUGGAGUAGGGAACAGCACAAGUGAGGAACGGAAGAACUGAGAUAUCUGAGAAGAGAUUUGUGAAUUUAGCCGCUGAGGAGCAAGCAUUUGGGAAGAUUGAUUUAUUUUGUGAACCAGCUGAGCUGUUGAAGCACUUGCAGAGGGCAAUGAGACACCGUGCUUAGCUUGCCUAUCUACAUUUGAAAAGUCUGAGAGGUUCCUAUCUGAAUCUCAAAUGCUAUUGAAAAAAGCAUUACGUGAUGUCUCCAAAGGCAGCAACAAGGCACAACGGUGUUGUCUUCAAGUCCCAGAUUAGUACUCGAACAACCAGGAAAUCCUGGCACUAGGAAAUCACCUGGCUCUCAUACUUUAAAUCCCCGAGAUACAAUGGGGGGUGCAGGGGCAUGUUUUGUUUUAAACUCGUCUCUUUCUCUGAGAGAACACAGAUUUGACUGACUGGUGUAGUUCUCUACAGACAAACUCAAAUUAACAGUGUUCUUACCACAGAUCGUACCACUGCAAUAUCUAAUCAUCAAAAUAAAUGCGCAGAAAUCCUGCAGAAUCAGGGGCAGACGGCCCCGAGGGAGCAGGCGGCGUUGGGUCAGGGACAGGAUGCUCCUCCACAGUAAACAUUCCCCCAACAAGUUACGUACAUGGUGCAGAACCACAGGAGAAGUGCCGUGAUUGCUGUGGUUUAUUUUGUAUUACAAGUUUUCAUUUUGAUUUUUACAGCUAGCAUGGAAGUAUGAUACUUUUUUUUGAUGCUUAAAUUCCAAGAGUUUAUAUUAUGAAGUAGCAAACCCUACUGAAAGGCUGUCAUACACGUGGUGGGGAACGACCUCCAUCGUGUGGGAGGUGCAGUGUUGGCUCAGCCUUUGAGAACUUUGGUGUUCACAGUGCACUGCCAGGUACACACAUCCCUCCCUUCCCUGUAAAAAGAAAUCAUGGGUUACUAUGCAGAUAAAGGAAACUUGUUGCUUUUCUUCAGAUGCCAAAGUAAUAAUAGGUAUUUAUUCUUAAUAGUCCUGUAGUACCUUGAAGCCCUUGUCAGUCAUUAGGACCUUGGCGUGCUGGACGCUGCACAAAGAGGUCAGGCAGCAACUUAGCCUUUACAUACAACCUCAGGUAAGGGUUGGGAAAGAAUAAUGAAAAAUUGGUGGUCAAGGGAACGUAUUGUUUGGUCCCUGGAAUGCAGAAGAAUUCUUACCAUUUGCAACGGGCUUUUGUAUAGGUUGCUCAUCUGGGUGUGGUGCCCACUGGUCUAUCCCAGACACCCACGCGCAUGGGCAUACACAGCCUUGUCUGCUGACAAAUUUCUUUACAUCAUCACACAUCAGUUUACUGGCUGCAAAGGGGAUAAUUUUUGUUUCCUCACCAAAAUCCACAAACUUGCUACACAAUACUUACACUUAUUUCCAGAAAAAUACCAGCAUAUCAGUAGCAUACAACGUUAUCGGCAAAGAGAUAUCCCCCAAACUGAAAAGUAGGAUUCAAAUUAAGGGGAAUACCCAGCAAAUACAGAAGCCACUGUAUGUGUUCCUAAUGAAGCUAAAGAUUAAUGGGAAACACCACAGACAGAGAACAUGAGGGAUCAUGUAUCAUUUGUGCUGUGUGUGGGAUUAGCUGACUGUGCAUUGCAUAAAACUCAGAGUAAAUGAAAUACACCAGGGAGCUCUUGGAUGUUCUUGACUAGUGGAAAAUCGGCCACAUUUCAUUAUUUCCCACCAAUGCCCUCACUGGAAGUACAUUCAACUCAUUUUUAAAUAAAGUAUUUUCUGUACCCAAAUGGCAAACAAACCACUGAUUAAAUGGAGAGAUAGCAUA